GUUGCGGUUGUUUAACUUUCAGCUUCAGUUAAUUUAUAUUCAUUCCACUAAAUAACCCAGUGUGCGGAAUUUAGACAUUGUUUACUCUAAAACUAUAUGUUUCAGCCGGUCUUUUUGUGAUGAACACCGUCUCCGGUGACCUCUGCUUGUGUAAACUCCGCUGCUUGUGUAACAUGAACGUUAGCUAGCAGCGUUAGCUAGCGUUAGCUGCACCACAGUCAGGUACCUGCAGCUGUUGUAGCUGUGUAAGCUAGUUAGCUGCCUGUUCAGAAAGCCAGCUUGUAGUAAGUUUUGAGAUGUUUGCCCAAGUGAGAACACGCCUGGGCUCGACUUUGGUCAAACUGCCCAGUUGUUUAGGUUCAAGGGCGACGAGAGGAAUAACACCUGUCUUCUGCAAACACCAGCACCGGAGUUUCAGCUCAGAGUCUGCUGGUGUCCGGGUGCUGUACGAUGGGCUUUGUCCUAUAUGCGUGACAGAGAUCCGUUUCCUCGAGUUUCUGCAGAGAAAUGAGUCUGGGAAAGUACAUUUUAUUGAUAUCGCCCUGCCAGACUAUGAUGGAGCAAAAUACCACAACGUCACCUAUGAGAUGGCCAUGGAGGUGAUGCAUGUGAUCGAUGAGAAUGACCAGAUUCAUCGUGGGAUCCCAGCGUUUGCUGUCAUGUACAGUGCAGUGGGCCUCGGCUGGUUGGGUCGCUUCAUGAUGUGGUCGCCUGUGAGGCCACUUAUGGACAAAUCUUAUGCCAUCUUUGCAAAGAAUCGCCUUAAGUGGACCGGACGUGGGGAGGAGUGCAUGACAGGACGCUGUGAGAAGAAAAUACAGUGAUUCUUGACCUCAGACAAAAAGGAACUGUUCAAACAGGUUAUGAAUAAGUGCAUAAACACCUCAUGGUCAUUCCUGUAUAGCCACUGGUUUAUCAUAAACCUGACAUUAAAGGUUAAUAUAUGUUGCUAAAGUUAAAUAUUGUUUGAGUUCUUCAUUUAGUUCAUGAAAACAUCUACAAAAAAUGAAGCAGAGAAUUCGAAAAGAUUCUUCAAUGUGCUGAAACUGGCAUGAAUAUUAAAAAGUAGUUCAUAAUCUUCACUUCACAUUAAGCAUCCAAAAAUUGUAACUGAAAGCACAGUUUCACCAAAGCAGAUUCUGACAAAUAACAUCAUUUUGUCAGGUUUCUUUUGAGGAAAAUGAAAUAAAAAAAUUGGUAAGACGACAGACAAUCAAAAGAAACUCCGGAUACUGAAAAAGAUCAAAAAACAUGGCAGCCGAGAGAAAGGAGCUCACUGUGAAAGACCAAUUGUGUAUUUUAUGAAGGGCUGUCAUAUUUUGGCAAAUGUACAGUACAGAGAUAAGACUGAAAGUCGGUGAGGCAAAAUACAGUCAAUUUCCUGUCAUGCACAGGGUCUCAGAUUGAGUUUCAUUUAAAGGCCGAUAAAGAACUAAACUGUCAGGAAGCUGCCACUAGAUGUCAAUGUAAGUCUGAAAUAAUAUCAGUGGUGGGAGUGGAAUUGUUGCUGCAGAUGUCAGCUGUGAUUGAUCCGAUCAUUGAAUGUUGCUUUGUCUGGAAAAGGCUUACUAAUACCAGCUUAGUUCAGUAGAUUUUUUGCGUUUAAAUUAUGUUUUGAAAGGGACAGAUACAGGCACUUUUUGGCUCCACAUGAGCCUCUGCUGUUAUGAAGAACAACACACUGCAGUGCAGAACAGCAUGUGCUCGCCAGAGGUUAGCCAUAGGACGCUGAUGUUUACAAAACAUACUCUGAUAUAGCAUAAGGCAGACACUUAGACAUACUUCCUGUGUUUGUGUGCCACAACAAUGGCAAAUUACUGGUUAAUUAUUUAUAUGGAGGGUAUCAAUAAAAUAACACUUGUCUGGAGCAUAUACAUAAACAGAAGGGAUGAAGACAAAGGGUGAAGUUUGUUUAUUUUACUUGCUCACUAUCUAUUUAAUAAUUAAAGCAUGUGCAUGUUUUUGUUAGGUAAAGCAGGAACAAUGGGUAACAAUGUUGGAGUAAAAAUGCAUUUUUUAUAGUAUAAUUUAUUCUUUAAAUUCUGUAUUCAUGGAAAAAUACAGCUUUAACUAUAAAGUAAUUUAUGGUAUGGAUCGGAUUGUAAAACAAACCCCCUUUGUCCAGUCUUCACUUCAUUUUCAUUGUCAAUAUAGUAUCAUUACAGGAUAUAUUAAAGUUUAAAUAGUUACAUUUAAAUAUUUUUUGUUGAAGCUGGCUUUCCUAUAGAUAUAGAUACACUGUAAUUACAUUCCUGGUGUCUUAUGUGCGCGACUAAAGAAUAAAACUACUUGUGAUUCCUUACACUGCUGUCUGUUUGGAGAAAGGUGUGCAAUAGUGUGCGUGAUGUGCUCUGACGUAUCACCAAGACCCUCGAGUUGUCACCCCCCUCUAAUUUUAGACUUGUGCUCGUCGGCAGCGACAGCACAUGACUUUAAGCCUGUGUGGUCUUAUUGAACAUUGGCCAAGCCGGCCAACCCCCCACAGCCCAG
Amphiprion ocellaris (clown anemonefish) is the source of this 2490-nucleotide long non-coding RNA. The record is from Ensembl. NCBI's taxonomy places the organism in Eukaryota, Metazoa, Chordata, Actinopteri, Pomacentridae.